GAUAGCAUGUGUUUGUGAUUUCUGCAUAGAUGGAAUUCAUGAUUCGUGUUUAGGAUAGAGAUAUGCCUUUACGCCAUAUGUAGUCUAAUAAGAACUUGAACUUAAACCCUUUUUAAUUGUAAUUCACAUAGAGAUAUAAUGGGUUAAAUAAUUAGGGUGUUCAAAUUGAUUUUAUCAUCUGUGGAUUUGAGUUGAUAUGAGUAUGGUGCAUUGAGAGAUGACUAUAUUUUACUUUCGUGUUCUUGAUUAACAAUCCAGUAUAAAUAAUUUGGCUUAACAGGAAGUGUGUUGAUUUAAAUGUAACAAUAAGUGAAAUUG
This 318-nucleotide long non-coding RNA is filed under the name Panax ginseng (ginseng). RNAcentral describes it as "long non-coding RNA (PGIN_LNC016325)". Lineage: Eukaryota; Viridiplantae; Streptophyta; Magnoliopsida; Apiales; Araliaceae. The record is from RNAcentral.